UAGCGGCGGACGGGUGAGUAACACGUGGGUAACCUACCUAUAAGACUGGGAUAACUCCGGGAAACCGGGGCUAAUACCGGAUAAUAUAUUGAACCGCAUGUUUCAAUGUUGAAAGACGGUUUCGGCUGUCACUUAUAGAUGGACCCGCGCCGUAUUAGCUAGUUGGUAAGGUAACGGCUUACCAAGGCAACGAUACGUAGCCGACCUGAGAGGGUGAUCGGCCACACUGGAACUGAGCCACGAUCAAACUCUUCUACGGGAGGCAGCAGUAGGGAAUCUUCCGCAAUGGGCGAAAGCCUGACGGAGCAACGCCGCGUGAGUGAUGAAGGUCUUAGGAUCGUAAAACUCUGUUGUUAGGGAAGAACAAAUUUGUUAGUAACUGAACAAGUCUUGACGGUACCUAACCAGAAAGCCACGGCUAACUACGUGCCAGCAGCCGCGGUAAUACGUAGGUGGCAAGCGUUAUCCGGGAAUUAUUGGGGCGUAAAGCGCGCGUAGGCGGUUUCUUAAGUCUGAUGUGAAAGCCCACGGCUCAACCGUGGAGGGUCAUUGGGAAACUGGGGAACUUGAGUGCAGAAGAGGAGAGUGGAAUUCCAUGUGUAGCGGUGAAAUGCGCAGAGAUAUGGAGGAACACCAGUGGCGAAGGCGGCUCUCUGGUCUGUAACUGACGCUGAUGUGCGAAAG
This 684-nucleotide ribosomal RNA is filed under the name Mammaliicoccus lentus. Its description in RNAcentral is "bacterial SSU rRNA". It matches the Rfam family "Bacterial small subunit ribosomal RNA", at positions 93 to 759 of the family's 1533-position model. The record is from RNAcentral. Lineage: Bacteria; Bacillati; Bacillota; Bacilli; Caryophanales; Staphylococcaceae.